This 1467-nucleotide long non-coding RNA is filed under the name Coturnix japonica (Japanese quail). RNAcentral's name for it is "lncRNA (ENSCJPG00005000777.1)". Lineage: Eukaryota; Metazoa; Chordata; Aves; Galliformes; Phasianidae. The record is from RNAcentral.
AACAGAACACAAAAUAAGUGAAGUUAUCUGUAGAUGGCUCUCUAUUACAUGCUGCACAUAUACUCCCGGAUCUCAUCUUCUUGCGGUGUUCUGCCAUAUCUGAUGAGGUCGUAUUCUCAUAUUUAUUGGAGAAGAUGGACUGUUACAAGCUGUGUGUCAUCCACAAAGACUGAAAAACGCCAGGGGCCCCAGAAGACAGCAUGCUCAUCAGAGAGUGAUCAAGAUUCAUGGUUCAAGCUAUAGAGCUGCUUUCCCUACAGUCACAACAGAACCAAUGCUAACAAUUUCUUCUCAUUUAAAACACCUUCCUUUCCCAAUAAGGGCAAAGCAAAGCCCAAAUUACUUCACUGUCAGAAAUGAAUACUGCUGAACAAUAGAAGCAGCAUUCCCAGAGUGGCUGGGGCAGUAGCGGUCAUGCCAGCCUGGCCAUUGAUGUGCUGGAAGCUUUUGGGAAAGACACACAAUCAAAUACUGGUGUAGCAGGAAACAUAUCAUAACCCAGUGUUCACACAUGUUCACAAGCCUAAUCAUCCACACAAAGUCACAGAGGUGUCCACCCUGCAAGCUGUGAGGCCACACUGACACCUCUAAGUCAGGUCAGGUCAGCACUGUUUGCAAACACUCUGGAUGCCUGUUACUAAAAAGGGCUUCCCUCGAGAGGAGGCUAAGAUCACAAUGAAUAAUAUUCAUGAAGCCAAGUUAGCCUAGCCCGAAACAGUGCCAGUGAACUGCUGAAGUACGUGACUGACAAACCGAUGAUGAGUUUUGAGUUGUUCUGAUGAAAUAUAUCUGCCUGUGGGGAAAGACCGCAUCUUCAGAAAUCUCUCUGUGUCAGCAGACCAGUCAGACUUGCCACGCAGACAGACAGGAGGAACAUCAGCUGAGUGAACAGCAUCCUCUAUCAUCUCAGAGAGAAAACAAAAGAUUCAGCAUACAAAUUCCAUAGGUGAACACUGCAACACUGAAAUAGAGAGCCCCUGGAAACCAGAAUCUCACUCCACUCAAUAAGCAUAAUGGCUAGAGGUUUUGUAGAAAUGAGGGAGCAUAAAUUCACAGUAAGCACUCUUUGAGAUGAAUAAUUCACCCAGCUCUAAUUAUGCAUAUAGUGCUUUGAAACACUAUUCAUGAACAGCAUUCCAGAAGCCUCUAACAGAAACAAAAUCUGGUACAUGUAGUCCUAAACCCUACAUUAAAAAAAAAAAAAGAUAGUAUCACAUAGGUACUCUCAUCUGUCCAUGUAGGAGUACUACACUGGAUUUUAUGCAUGUGGAAAAUGCAUAAAACUAGAAGCAAAAUGUGCUGGGAUACAGAAAAUUCAGACUCUUUCUGGGGAGGUCACAUUUUUUCCCUUAGGUCUACAUAUGUCUUAAUGACAGAACCACCAUCAUCUCUUUCAUAAAGGAAAGAGAGGAACACGUGAGGAGAAGUAAUCCAAUAGGCAAAAAUAAACACCGUAAAAUGUGGGCA